RNAcentral lists this ribosomal RNA (780 nucleotides) under uncultured Neocallimastigales. RNAcentral's name for it is "partial large subunit ribosomal RNA". It matches the Rfam family "Eukaryotic large subunit ribosomal RNA", at positions 22 to 621 of the family's 3401-position model. The record is from RNAcentral. Lineage: Eukaryota; Fungi; Neocallimastigomycota; Neocallimastigomycetes; Neocallimastigales.
AUAUCAGUCAUGCAUAGCAUAUCAAUAAGCGGAGGAAAAGAAACUAACAAGGAUUCCCUUAGUAACGGCGAGUGAAGCGGGAAGAGCUCAAAUUUGAAAUCUUCAAGGUUUUACCUUGACGAAUUGUAGUUUAAAGAAGUGUUUUCUGUUGAAGUUUUGGUAAAAGUUCUUUGGAAUAGGACAUCAUAGAGGGUGAGAAUCCCGUAUUUGACCAUUACUUUCAGCUUAGUAUGUGAUACACUUUCAAAGAGUCGGAUUGUUUGGGAAUGCAGUCCAAAAUGGGUGGUAAAUUUCAUCUAAAGCUAAAUAUUGGCGAGAGACCGAUAGCGAACAAGUACCGUGAGGGAAAGAUGAAAAGAACUUUGAAAAGAGAGUUAAACAGUACGUGAAAUUGUCAAAAGGGAAGCGUUUGACACCAGUGUUGUUUUCUCGAAAAUCAAUUAAAAAGAGUUGGAUUUUGUGUUGUAUUGACUUUAUCAGGCUUUCUUCACUCUUUUCCAGCUUUUUUUAAUGCACUUUUCGUUUAACAAGUCAACAUCAGUUUCUUUUGUUGUAAAAAGGUCAUUGGAAGGAUGGCUUUCUCUUCGGAGAAAGUGUCUAUAGCCUUUGACUCAUGCAAUCGGAGAGACUGAGGUCUGCAGCGUAGAUCCUUCGGGGUUAGAUACAUUUGUGCUAAGUUAUAGCUUUUCAUAGACAACUUGUUGACUAUGUUUAGUCUUGUAGCUUACUCGCUUAUGCUAUUUUACCUACGCUUAGGAUGUUGAACUCUAUCACACACAG